This 253-nucleotide ribosomal RNA is filed under the name uncultured bacterium. RNAcentral describes it as "partial 16S ribosomal RNA". It matches the Rfam family "Bacterial small subunit ribosomal RNA", at positions 524 to 776 of the family's 1533-position model. The record is from RNAcentral.
UACAGAGACUGCAAGCGUUAUUCGGAUUCACUGGGCGUAAAGGGUGCGCAGGCGGCCAAGUGUGUGAGGCGUGAAAGCCCGGGGCUCGACCCCGGAAUUGCCUUUAAGACUGCAUCGCUUGAAUUGUGGAGAGGUGAGUGGAAUUCCGAGUGUAGAGGUGAAAUUCGUAGAUAUUCGGAAGAACACCAGUGGCGAAGGCGACUCACUGGACACAUAUUGACGCUGAGGUGCGAAAGCGUGGGGAGCAAACAGG